GUGCCAGCAGCCGCGGUAAUACGUAGGUGGCGAGCGUUGUCCGGAAUUACUGGGCGUAAAGAGCGCGUAGGCGGCUAUUUAAGUCAGAUGUGAAAACUUGGGGCUCAACCGCAAGAUUGCAUUUGAAACUGAAUAGCUUGAGGGCAAGAGAGGAAAGCGGAAUUCCCAGUGUAGCAGUGAAAUGCGUAGAUAUUGGGAGGAACACCAGUGGCGAAGGCGGCUUUCUGGCUUGUACCUGACGCUGAGGCGCGAAAGCGUGGGGAGCGAACGGGAUUAGAUACCCCGGUAGUCCACGCCGUAAACGAUGGGCACUAGGUGUAGGAGGUAUCGACCCCUUCUGUGCCGCAGCUAACGCAUUAAGUGCCCCGCCUGGGGAGUACGGCCGCAAGGUUGAAACUCAAAUAAAUUGACGG
Molecule: ribosomal RNA, 413 nt
Filed under: uncultured bacterium
Lineage: Bacteria
Description: bacterial SSU rRNA
Rfam family: Bacterial small subunit ribosomal RNA
Source: RNAcentral